This 434-nucleotide ribosomal RNA is filed under the name uncultured bacterium. Its description in RNAcentral is "bacterial SSU rRNA". It matches the Rfam family "Bacterial small subunit ribosomal RNA", at positions 28 to 507 of the family's 1533-position model. The record is from RNAcentral.
GAUGAACGCUAGCGGGAGGCUUAACACAUGCAAGUCGAACGGGCGUAGCAAUACGUCAGUGGCAGACGGGUGAGUAACACGUGGGAACCUUCCUAGGGGUACGGAACAACUCAGGGAAACUUGAGCUAAUACCGUAUACGUCCGUGAGGAGAAAGAUUUAUCGCCCUUAGACGGGCCCGCGUCGGAUUAGCUAGUUGGUGGGGUAACGGCCUACCAAGGCGACGAUCCGUAGCUGAUCUUAGAGGAUGAUCAGCCACACUGGGACUGAGACACGGCCCAGACUCCUACGGGAGGCAGCAGUGGGGAAUCUUGGACAAUGGGCGCAAGCCUGAUCCAGCCAUGCCGCGUGAGUGAAGAAGGUCUUCGGAUUGUAAAGCUCUUUUGCCAGGGACGAUAAUGACGGUACCUGGAGAAUAAGCCCGGCAAACUUCGUG